This 414-nucleotide ribosomal RNA is filed under the name uncultured Singulisphaera sp. RNAcentral describes it as "bacterial SSU rRNA". It matches the Rfam family "Bacterial small subunit ribosomal RNA", at positions 355 to 774 of the family's 1533-position model. Lineage: Bacteria; Pseudomonadati; Planctomycetota; Planctomycetia; Isosphaerales; Isosphaeraceae. The record is from RNAcentral.
UCGAGAAUCUUCGGCAAUGGGCGCAAGCCUGACCGAGCGACGCCGCGUGGAGGAUGAAGGCCUUCGGGUUGUAAACUCCUGUCGAGGGGGAAAAAGGGUUGAAAGACCUUGAUUGAUCCCUGGAGGAAGCACGGGCUAAGUUCGUGCCAGCAGCCGCGGUAAGACGAACCGUGCGAACGUUAUUCGGAAUCAUUGGGCUUAAAGCGCGUGUAGGCGGGUUCGUGCGUCUGUCGCUGAAAUCCCCCGGCUCAACCGGGGAAGGGGCGCGGAUACGACGAGUCUGGAGGGGCAUAGGGGGACCUGGAACUUCCGGUGGAGCGGUGAAAUGCGUUGAGAUCGGAAGGAACGCCCGUGGCGAAAGCGAGGUCCUGGAUGCUUACUGACGCUGAGACGCGAAAGCCAGGGGAGCGAACG